Long non-coding RNA from Platichthys flesus (European flounder), 423 nucleotides. RefSeq lists it as uncharacterized. NCBI's taxonomy places the organism in Eukaryota, Metazoa, Chordata, Actinopteri, Pleuronectiformes, Pleuronectidae. The record is from RefSeq and is a predicted model, not a curated record. The transcript has 4 exons.
UACCACUAUGUGAGCUCCUCCUGUUAAAACUCCAAAUGUUACACAAUGAGUUUGAAGUCAGUUAUGUGUAUAUAAAGAGUUGCCUCUGUUGUUAACAGUAGAGGACAGAUUUCACCUUUGAAUCUCACAAAGCUCACUUUGUAUUCGACAGGAUGAAGUUCACUGCCACCUUUGUCUUGUUGUUCAUCUUCGUCCUCAUGGUUGAUCUCGGAGAGGGUGCCGGGAUAAUUAGCGGGGCGGUCAUUGAUGCCCUGACCAAUGGGCAGGGGCAGGGUUACGAUGAGCAGCAGGAGCUCGCCAAGCGCUCAGAUGAUGACAGCCCCAGUCUUAUUUUUUUGGACUGAAGAAGUCGCCCUGAAGGAACCUUCAGAUGAUCUAUAAUGCUUCUUGCUUUUCAAUGAAAUAAAUCAUACAUUUAUCCGC